Molecule: unclassified non-coding RNA, 279 nt
Filed under: plant metagenome
Description: partial contains small subunit ribosomal RNA, internal transcribed spacer 1, and 5.8S ribosomal RNA
Source: RNAcentral
UUUCCGUAGGUGAACCUGCGGAAGGAUCAUUAUUGUAUAACCAAGGUGCGAGGGCUGUUGCUGACCCGUACAGUUGUUCACGCCGGAGUCCCCUCACACAAUUCCAUCUCCCCCCUCGCUGCACCACCGCGUGGGUCCCCCUUCGGCCUGUUCGGAGGCGGGCCUAUGUUUUCACACAUCUUUUUUUUGCAGUGUAGACUGUGUUUUUUGUUUUUUCAAUCACGCCUUCAAACCAACUUUCUAUAACUGCUCUCUUGGCUCUCGAAUCGAUGAGGAACG